AAGCCAUGAUGAGGACACUUUCUCAACAGCUCCUUGAACCUUUCCCAAGAGUCAUAUAAAGAUUCCCCCUCAAGCUGGUAAGAACUUGGUCUCCCCCCUUAAUUU
This is a small nucleolar RNA of Humulus lupulus (European hop), 105 nucleotides long. The record is from RefSeq and is a predicted model, not a curated record. Lineage: Eukaryota; Viridiplantae; Streptophyta; Magnoliopsida; Rosales; Cannabaceae.